Molecule: RNA transcript, 1753 nt
Organism: Ostrea edulis (European flat oyster)
Lineage: Eukaryota; Metazoa; Mollusca; Bivalvia; Ostreida; Ostreidae
Gene name: multiple epidermal growth factor-like domains protein 11
Exons: 3
Source: RefSeq, a predicted model, not a curated record
GUACGAAUAUACGAUCAUAUUUCUUAAAAAUCCAACAUUUCCAGAACAGUUAUCAAAAUGGUCGUUUUUCUGCAGAUUUUCAUAUUAUAUGCAUUUUAUCUAAAAUGGACUGUUUGUGCAAAAGAAGGAGUAUGCAAUAAAGGAGAUUCAAAGUACGAUUGAUGUAAUUAAUACAAAAUAUUGUUGUUCCGGUUACAGAAAAAUAGAGGGUGAAUGCACUGAAUGUGUUGGUUUCUUCGGAGACAAUUGCGAUAAACAAUGUGUGAAUGGAUAUUUCGGAAAAUCGUGUAGAGAGGCUUGCAACUGUACUAAAUCAGAAACCUGUAAUCAGUACGUCGGAUGCAUCGAAACCAAAAGUAAAAGUAAGUUUAGCAUGUGGUUUGACAAAUUAGAAAAAAAGACAUCCCUAUUGGUCCAUGCAAAGAUUUGAAUGUUUGUUCGCUUCAUCAUUGUUGAACAAACAAGAGAGGUACACACAUGUAAGUACCCUUCAUGCUAUAUACAAAAUGUAAUCACAAAAUCGAUCUUACAAAGGACUAAAUAUCGUGAAGCCCUAACAUUACAGCCAAGCUUCCCCUCGACUGAUAUAAAAUAUUAUAUCAAAUUUUGAUUACAUUGUGAUAUUGAUAUGAUUUCUAUGAAUUUCGCUUAAAAUAACCUGUAUUUUUCCAUUAAUGAGUUAGAUUCCAAAAACGCACAAACUACGACAGACAACAAAGGACCAUGCCCGUUUGUUAGUCUAAUGGUUCCUGCAAUAACGACUUUGUUGAUUCUAAGUUUCAUCAUGUGUUUUAUGAUUUGCUUAUAUAGGUAAGUAUGCAAAUCUAAGAAUGAAUACUUAGGAGUAUAACUUUGUAACACACGCAAAUAUUUUCAACUUGUUAAGUUCGUUUUCCUAACUAUUUUUCAAGAAUACGAAGAGAAGGAAAGUAUAAAGUGGACAAAGCCAUGAAAAUGAAGUCAAUCCCACAGAAAAAGUCACAAAACAUUCAGUUGAUUCGUUACACGAGCAAUGUACACGAAUAUAGACAAUACAGUGACAUCGAUAUUACGAAAUACACAUAUAAUAGAGAAUUUGAAAAGCAUGUGACACAUGACUACAGUCGAAUCAUAUUCCCUAAAUUUACAUCAGUGGAUAUUCCAGCAGACCAGUACAGUACGACCAUAAUACGUAAUCCAUAUGUAUUGGUGGAUGGAGAAAGUGAAAGCAGCACAGACACUUCUGAUGGAGGAAAUAUUAAAAAAAGACAUCCCUCCAAUGACGAACGUAGUGGAAAAAACUCGAGACCUUAUAGUGUAGUUCACCCGAAUGGAUUUGAUUUUACCAUCUAGUUAUCUCUAUCAGGACCAGAAAGUUUAUGAUUAGACGAAGUCAGAGUUAUACAACUUCAUUAUUCAGUGUCGUUUCAAAUCGUUUCAAUCAUAUAUUUUUAAAGAAAUUGCAUUGGUCGAUUUUUGUGCAUUUGUAUACAUUGAAUGAAUACUUAUGAUUUCUUUCCUUGCAUUGUGAGGACUUUUAAGCAACAUGUAUAUGAUUUAUACCAAUUUUACUAACUUUCAUUUAAAUCCACGUUGCUGGUAUUUUUGAAUGAUGAAUGUUUUAAUUCUAGAAAGAAUUAAAUGUCUAGUAUCUGUUCUAGUCACUAAGGACUUGGGAGUGUGCUCGAGGGACUCUCCUCAAAUGCCUAUUGCACAAAGUAGAUUGGUGUAAAGUAUCUAGUGUGUUUACUAUAUUAAAUGAAUUAUACACUUA